GCUCCACAUCAAAGUUCACAGAAUUUUUAUCCUCAGAUGUGACACUAGCAGUAAUGUCUUCCAAGAUAAGGAGCAACUCUUGUUGGAUGUGAACAGCGGCAUCAGCAAUGAUUUGAGAGUUUCCAGAUGAAGAAUGAUAAUGUAAAUCACUCUGGUUGGCAGCCGCAUGAAUCCACUCAUUAUCAAUAAAGGCAUUUUGAAGAAGCUUGAACAAGGGACAAAUGAGAGAACCUCUGUUUUCCAUGUCUUUUUUCAACAGCAACACAUCAAGCAGAGAACCAACAAAAGCAACAACGUUUCCACCUCCCGGAAUAAUAUCAAGGCAAACAUCACGAUUAUUGCAGGCACUUCUUUUCUUUCUUUUCUUUUCAUGCUUUGACCCAUUUGACCAAACUUUCUGCUCACAAAUGAAAUCAAGUAUCCGACUAACAAUCGAGCAAGUGAUAUUAAUGCGAAGCAAGGCUUCUCUUGUGGCUUUUUGUAUAUCCCCAUUGGCACUGCGAAACAAGAGCACAAGAUGCCGAAAGACAAGAUCCUGAGUCUCAGUCUUCAGACUUGCAUAGAAGGAAUUGCUAAGAUCCCCAAGGACAGUCAUACAAGGCUUCAGAAUAGCAGGGUCUCCGGACAACACAUCACUGACCUGCAAGGCUUUUAAUACAGGGUCCAAGACCUCAAGGUCGCCAACAGUUGUAGUAGAAGGCUUUAUACAAAACUCCAGUAGAAUACAAAGAAUGGUGACUUCAACUUGUGACAACUUAUGGCAUGAUUUGUCAAACCCAAUAUGACACUUCUGACGUCUAUCAAGAAGAUCAAGCAUUAAUGAUUCAAUACCAUUAACACGUAUAACCGUAUGCCCCACGCCUUUGAGCAGCGACAAAAUCUUUAGCUUUGCAUAUGCAGAAUAUCUAAGGGCAG
This 915-nucleotide unclassified non-coding RNA is filed under the name Hevea brasiliensis (rubber tree). Lineage: Eukaryota; Viridiplantae; Streptophyta; Magnoliopsida; Malpighiales; Euphorbiaceae. The record is from RNAcentral.